RNAcentral lists this ribosomal RNA (543 nucleotides) under Cephalobidae environmental sample. Its description in RNAcentral is "SSU rRNA". It matches the Rfam family "Eukaryotic small subunit ribosomal RNA", at positions 1029 to 1596 of the family's 1831-position model. The record is from RNAcentral. Lineage: Eukaryota; Metazoa; Nematoda; Chromadorea; Rhabditida; Cephalobidae.
CCCGUAAACCGAUGCCAAACUAGCGAUCCGCCGGUGGAUUUUUAGCCCUGGUGGGUAGCUUCCCGGAAACGAAAGUCUUCCGGUUCCGGGGGAAGUAUGGUUGCAAAGCUGAAACUUAAAGGAAUUGACGGAAGGGCACCACCAGGAGUGGAGCCUGCGGCUUAAUUUGACUCAACACGGGGAAACUCACCCGGCCCGGACACCGUAAGGAUUGACAGAUUGAUAGCUCUUUCAUGAUUCGGUGGUUGGUGGUGCAUGGCCGUUCUUAGUUCGUGGAUCGAUUUGUCUGGUUUAUUCCGAUAACGAGCGAGACUCUAGCCUACUAAAUAGUAACGAGAUUAUCAAUGUCUCAGUUGCUUCUUAGAGGGAUUUUCGGUGUUUAGCCGCACGAGAUUGAGCAAUAACAGGUCUGUGAUGCCCUUAGAUGUCCGGGGCUGCACGCGCGUUACACUGGCGAAAUCAGCGUGCUGUAUCCAUUCUCGAAAGGGAUUGGUAAACCCAUGAAAAUUUGCCGUGCUUGGGAUCGGAAAUUGCAAUUAUUUU